Molecule: long non-coding RNA, 1606 nt
Organism: Dermacentor silvarum
Lineage: Eukaryota; Metazoa; Arthropoda; Arachnida; Ixodida; Ixodidae
Exons: 3
Source: RefSeq, a predicted model, not a curated record
CUGCUGUGCCAUUUUCAUGUGGCACAGGCGGAAUGGCGAUGGCUAACACUUGCAAAGCAUGGAGUUGGUCCAAGUGCAAGGAAGUUGCUGAUGUCCAUUUUUCAGAUGGUCAUGUAUGCUGACGGUGCCGAUGUCAUGGAAGCAGCGAUGCAGGAGCUUUGCACCUAGCAGCAAGAGGGCUACAUCAGCCAUGUUAAAGCAUUCCUUGAACGAAAAGCAGAAUGGGGGCUAUUGUUCCGGUUGGCCAUGAGGACUAGAGGCCAUAAUACAAACAAAUAUUCAGAAGCGUCUAUUAGAAUAUUGAAAGACAUUGUUCUGCACCUAACCAAAGCAUUUAAUGUUGUUGCUCUAGCUGAAUUCAUCAUUGUUGUGUGGGAGAGAUACUUCCAGCACAGAAGACUUGACCACGCACGUUCACGUGUUUCUGGGCACAGCCUUCUAUAUGACAACCUAUUGAAGAGGUUGCCAGGAGGCAUUCGAGAGGUAAAAUGUGACAGAAAUGGACAGUGCAUUGUACCAAGCACUAGUGAGGACAAGUACUACAGCGUAUAUGCUGAUGUCAGCUUGUGUACGUGCAGGUCAGGGCAGCAAGGUGCCUUUUGUAAGCACCAGGCACUUGUGCACAAAGUGUAUGGUGGAGCAUUCCCCAAUGCCCUUCUGCUUUCUAAGCAAAGCCGAUAUGAGCUCGGAAAGCUUGCUCUAGGGGACAGAUGCCCUAGUAUUGGGUUUGUUGAGGGCCUCCAUGAAACGGCUGCACAGCCAGCAGACACAGCAUGCAUGGAUACAAUUCCACACUGCUUGGAUGGUCCAGAAGCAGCCUCUACACAAAUGCAGCAUGGGCUUCCAAGGAGCUCGGAAGGUUCACCAGCACAACUAGUGAGCCAGAUUUAACAGGCAGAUCCAUUUGAGCACCUUGCAGCAACUUUUCGGCACUUCAAGGAACAAGUUGGUGAUGACCUGAAGCAUGUGGCCAGGCUCAGAAAAAAAAAUUAAAUAAGCUACCCAGUAAAGAGAGCUUUAUCGAGGCUAGGAUAACAAUGUCAACGUCUGUCUCCAGAGCUUCAAGGUGCCAGGGCAGAAUACAUGUGCAGCCAACGAGCACUUCAAGGAGAGGCCUGGCCUCAACAGAGGUUCCAAACGUGUUCCUCCAGGAAGGCCAACAAACAGUCCUGCACCAAAGAGAGCCAAGCGGAGCCACUCACUGCGCCGCUGUGUUGAAGACAAUGUCCCAUCUCUAAGGUGAUCCUGUGCUGCUGCAUCUGUGCACCCAGUGUGUGUUUGUGUCCAAGUCAGAAAUGUGCAGUUUGUGAAGGUGUUUCUUUAUAGGGAAAGGGAAGCGCUGCACCGCUGUGUUGAGCUCAAUGUCCCACCCGCAGAGGCAAAGACCUCACCGAGGCUAUAAACCGAGCGGGACGGCUCAUCCUCAACAGCGGAGGACCCACCUACGUCCAUCGUGGAGUGAGCACAGCCAUCAACCUCACACUUGCCAUAGAGCAGUGCUCCUACUCCUAGGCCACAGCUCCAGACACAUGGGGGGUCGGACCAUUUUCUUAUUGUGAUCAACCUGGUGUCUGGGAGCAGGCCAAGGUUAAGGACUUACCACGUC